This 62-nucleotide ribosomal RNA is filed under the name Leucodon pendulus. Its description in RNAcentral is "partial 26S ribosomal RNA". The record is from RNAcentral. Lineage: Eukaryota; Viridiplantae; Streptophyta; Bryopsida; Hypnales; Leucodontaceae.
CAGACCUCUAAUCGGAAAAGACUACCCGCUGAGUUUAAGCAUAUCAAUAGGCCGGGAAGGAA